Molecule: long non-coding RNA, 237 nt
Filed under: Mytilus galloprovincialis (Mediterranean mussel)
Lineage: Eukaryota; Metazoa; Mollusca; Bivalvia; Mytilida; Mytilidae
Source: RNAcentral
CCGACAAUUACAGAAUACAAUACGACUUAGACCAGACAAAGCCGUUUGCAAUGCGAUAGAGCGGACCGUGAUAGGAUAACGUUCAGAUAGUACCUGCUCAUACCGAUUAUGCCGACAGUUUUCGAACGGAUAACUUCCGCCAGCGUCGGUUUACUGUCUGGUCACUGUCUGAUCUCUGUCGGAUUACAUUCGGUAGAAUCGGGACGCAGUCGUAACAGACUCGGUCGAAUUUUACCU